ACAACAUCUGGAAACGGAUGCUAAUACCGGAUAUUAUGGUUUUUUCGCAUGGAGGAAUCAUGAAAGCUAGAUGCGCUAAGAGAGAGCUUUGCGUCCCAUUAGCUCGUUGGUGAGGUAACGGCCCACCAAGGCAAUGAUGGGUAGCCGGCCUGAGAGGGUGAACGGCCACAAGGGGACUGAGACACGGCCCUUACUCCUACGGGAGGCAGCAGUGGGGAAUAUUGGACAAUGGACCACAAGUCUGAUCCAGCAAUUCUGUGUGCACGAUGACGUUUUUCGGAAUGUAAAGUGCUUUCAGUCGGGAAGAAGUCAGUGACGGUACCGACAGAAGAAGCGACGGCUAAAUACGUGCCAGCAGCCGCGGUAAUACGUAUGUCGCAAGCGUUAUCCGGAUUUAUUGGGCGUAAAGCGCGUCUAGGCGGCAAGGAAAGUCUGAUGUGAAAAUGCGGAGCUCAACUCCGUAUGGCGUUGGAAACUGCCUUACUAGAGUACUGGAGAGGUAGGCGGAACUACAAGUGUAGAGGUGAAAUUCGUAGAUAUUUGUAGGAAUGCCGAUGGGGAAGCCAGCCUACUGGACAGAUACUGACGCUAAAGCGCGAAAGCGUGGGUAGCAAACAGGAUUAGAUACCCUGGUAGUCCACGCUGUAAACGAUGAUUACUAGGUGUUGGGGGUCAAACCUCAGCGCCCAAGCUAACGCGAUAAGUAAUCCGCCUGGGGAGUACGUACGCAAGUAUGAAACUCAAAGGAAUUGACGGGGACC
RNAcentral lists this ribosomal RNA (761 nucleotides) under uncultured Fusobacterium sp. RNAcentral's name for it is "bacterial SSU rRNA". It matches the Rfam family "Bacterial small subunit ribosomal RNA", at positions 143 to 921 of the family's 1533-position model. Lineage: Bacteria; Fusobacteriati; Fusobacteriota; Fusobacteriia; Fusobacteriales; Fusobacteriaceae. The record is from RNAcentral.